UUUUAAUCUAACAUGUGCCACAACGGUAAAAAUAACUUAGAAACCGAUUACCUAAAGUCACACGAGAGUUUUACAUUACAUGAAGAUUGAUUUGGGAGUAUUGUGUUACAAAUUAAAAUUUAAAUACAUUAUAGUUACAUACUCUUAAAUUGAUAUGCCAUUUAUGUAAUUUACCCAAAAUAAAAGGGAGAACAAAAAGAAGAAACUGAGAAAGAUCGAGAGGGAGAGAACUUAGAAAGAGAUUGAAUUUCCAUAAUUUCAUAUCAAUCUUUAAAUAUACGAAAAGUGCAACUCCUAUAUUUCAAUAACUGAAUAUAAUAACUUGCUUAACUAAUAAACCUUAUCAAACAAAAAUCUAACCCACUCCUCCCAUCAUAGAACCCUUAUCACAAAGAUAAAAUUGAAACAUUGCAAAGCCUUGUCUUCCUUGUUCGUUAGGAGAUUCAUAAGGCUGCUAUGAUUAAAUUUGAAACUAUUAAAAAACCUUUUGGCAUUUGAUUAUCAAUAAAAUGGAAUUCCACGAACAUAAUGAUUUCACCCGUUGUCUCUCAAAUUAGGAUGUCACAACAAUAUUAUCUCUACAUAAUUUUGUAUCACAACUUUUAAGAUCAUUCCUAUCAUAUUUUAGUUGUUAUUUCAGCGAGGUACUUCCAAACCACCUUAUUUUAUAAUAAUUUAAUAUUUUUUAAGUAACUUAAUGUCUCAUUUUCUCCUCUCCACUUCCCUUCUUCUUUCUUUCCUCUCCUUUUACUCUUCUCCAUCUUCCCCUAACCUACAAAACAUUCCCUCACCAACAAACCUAAAAUGAUGUUGUUUCUAUGGUGUUUCAAUCGAAACCUCUCAUAGGACUAACUUCUCCAUGACAUGCGGCCCUACCUCCCCAAAAUCCCUUUUUGCUAUGACCUCCCAAUUUGUAAUUGCCUUCUCUAGCAUUAGGAUUUCCUCCAAUGUCCGUCAUGUCUUGCACACCUAAGGCCUUGGCCCCAAUGGAAUCAUUAUUAACAUUACCGUAUUCGAUCCAUCCUGGACUCUCAGAUCUUCAUCAAGACAUUUCUUAAAAAUUGCUACUCCAUUGAUGCUCCAAUCUCCAGUAGCAAUCACAUUGCCAAUAACAAAACAAUCGUAACAUUCUCAAGAUGUGAUGAAGUAGUCACUGAUCUCUAGAAUGCUCCUCUUGGCCUUAUAGGAAAGGUUAAAUAUGCGAGUGCCUUAAGCAAAGACCAAUUUAUGAAGCUAACAAAUCAAAUAACUAUAACUUCCACAACGGUUAGCUUAAUGGAACGGAACAUUAAUGAAUAUAAGAUGGAAUAAUGUGGAACUAUGUACUUGCUCCAAUAUUGUCUACAAAUGGUUGUCAAUCUCACGUGCUCAAAUUAGAAUCCUAAGAAUUUCCUCUAUCCAUCUAUAAUGUUCCUAGGAUCAGUUGUUCUUGGUUGAUUUACUUCUCAUUUUGGCAAGUAAUCAACAAGUGCAAAAGUGUGUGUGUGUGUGUG
Molecule: unclassified non-coding RNA, 1493 nt
Filed under: Hevea brasiliensis (rubber tree)
Lineage: Eukaryota; Viridiplantae; Streptophyta; Magnoliopsida; Malpighiales; Euphorbiaceae
Source: RNAcentral